Molecule: ribosomal RNA, 496 nt
Filed under: uncultured bacterium
Lineage: Bacteria
Description: partial 16S ribosomal RNA
Rfam family: Bacterial small subunit ribosomal RNA
Source: RNAcentral
GAUGAACGCUGGCGGCGUGCCUAGUACAUGCAAGUCGAGCGAACAGACGAGGAGCUUGCUCCUCUGACGUUAGCGGCGGACGGGUGAGUAACACGUGGAUAACCUACCUAUAAGACUGGGAUAACUUCGGGAAACCGGAGCUAAUACCGGAUAAUAUAUUGAACCGCAUGGUUCAAUAGUGAAAGACGGUUUUGCUGUCACUUAUAGAUGGAUCCGCGCCGCAUUAGCCAGUUGGUAAGGUAACGGCUUACCAAGGCAACGAUGCGUAGCCGACCUGAGAGGGUGAUCGGCCACACUGGAACUGAGACACGGGCCAGACUCCUACGGGAGGCAGCAGUAGGGAAUCUUCCGCAAUGGGCGAAAGCCUGACGGAGCAACGCCGCGUGAGUGAUGAAGGUCUGCGGAUCGUAAAACUCUGUUAUUAGGGAAGAACAAAUGUGUAAGUAACUAUGCACGUCUUGACGGUACCUAAUCAGAAAGCCACGGCUAACUACGU